This 253-nucleotide ribosomal RNA is filed under the name uncultured bacterium. Its description in RNAcentral is "partial 16S ribosomal RNA". It matches the Rfam family "Bacterial small subunit ribosomal RNA", at positions 524 to 775 of the family's 1533-position model. The record is from RNAcentral.
UACGAAGGGUGCAAGCGUUAAUCGGAAUUACUGGGCGUAAAGCGUGCGUAGGCGGUUUGUUAAGUCUGUUGUGAAAUCCCCGGGCUCAACCUGGGAAUGGCAAUGGAUACUGGCAAGCUAGAGUGUGUCAGAGGAUGGUGGAAUUCCCGGUGUAGCGGUGAAAUGCGUAGAGAUCGGGAGGAACAUCAGUGGCGAAGGCGGCCCAUCUGGGACAACACUGACGCUGAGGCACGAAAGCGUGGGGAGCAACAGG